This 1968-nucleotide long non-coding RNA is filed under the name Amborella trichopoda. Its description in RNAcentral is "long non-coding RNA (ATRI_LNC001244)". The record is from RNAcentral. Lineage: Eukaryota; Viridiplantae; Streptophyta; Magnoliopsida; Amborellales; Amborellaceae.
UCUUCUAUCAUAUGCAAGGAAACUGAAAACAUCAAAAACAUGAAACACGGUUUAACACACUCUCACAUCACAAAACCAACAUCAAAGGCACGACAACCUUCUCUUGUGCAAGAAAUAACCACCACAUUGACAUCAGAAGCCACACCAUCUUGUGAACUAUUUUAACAUUUCUCAUAUGCAGGGAAAAUAGUAUCACAAACAUGAGAACAAGGUCGAACACACACACACACACUCGUGUCAGGAAACCAACAUUAAGGGCACGUCAAAAUCUCGUGUCACGUACAAGAGAACCAUCAUAAAUCACACCAACUCAUGAAAAGAAAAGGAAAUUUAUCAAAAAGCAACCAAGAGAUGAACUAUUUAAAAAAUCUCACCAUUUCUAUUGAUUUAAUUUAAAAAAAAACAAGGAAACUAACAAAAAAAGAAACAGAAAAAUAUACAAUGAGACCGUUUAUCUUUGGUACAAGGUGGUCACAAUUGAUCUUGACCAUUGAAUGUGAAAUUGGAUGGUUGCAUUUAUUCCAUCGACCAUGCACAAACUUCAAAAGAAUUUUUUUCGAACUUUGUGACACACCAAAGCUACAGAUUUCACAUCAGAUGGUUGUACAUAAUUGUGACCUCUUUAUGUCAAAGGUAAAUUGUCUCAUUGUUUACAAUCCCAACAGAAACAAAGAGAUGAAACUAUUUAACAUCCCACCCAUUAUUUUUUAUUUAAUAUCGAGAAGCCCAUCAAAGACACGUAAUCAAGAAUUAGGAUAGUUGAUAAAUGUGAAAUUGUUGAUAUUUUAGGCGUGAUUUGAUAAAUGAGGUGUGGUUUGAUAUAGUCUGCAAAGAAAAGGAAGUAACUGUGAGUGUUGGGAGCUUAGACCCAACAUCCACUGUCCAUACUGCCAAAGGAGUUGGAAUUGUCCGCUUUUAAAGCUGCCUUAUUUUUAAGCGGUAAGGGUUACUCAGCUCCACUAGGAUAAAUAGGACUGGGGGAUGCAUAAUGAAACUUGUACGUGAUACUAUAGUACCCAUUUGGAUUGGUCUCAUGAAAUUAGGGUUUAGAGCCCAAGCAAAGAGAAAAGUAAGUGCAGAAAUUAAACUGUUGGGUGAGCAGAUAUGGACUAGAGUGAGAACGCUGGUGUCUCAGGGUUUUGAGCCCAAGCAAAAAGGAGAGUGUGGUUGUGGGGGAGUGUGCUACCAAGCACUACAAACAAGGCAAACUGCAAUGGUAUUAUAGUAUCUGGUCUCGAGAAAAAUUCACAGAAGUAUGCAGCACUCCCUUGCUCCCUCUCAACUACAUCUUGGUGCGUAGACUUAAAAGCAUGGUGAAUUAACACUAGUGACCAGAUGAUGGUGAUCUACACCAAACUCUCGUCUCAGUAAUAACUACAACAAGCUCUUAACAAUACAAAGACCAAAAAGGUAUCUGGCAAAUCCAAAUCCUGGCACUUACAUAGCGGUACAAAUUUUAUUAGCACAGUAAACCAACCAAGACUUGCAAUCUAUCAAAAAGCAUGGUGAAUUAACACUAGUGACCAGAUGAUGGUGAUCUACACCAAACUCUCGUCUCAGUAAUAACUACAACAAGCUCUUAACAAUACAAAGACCAAAAAGGUAUCUGGCAAAUCCAAAAUCCUGGCACUUACAUAGCGGUACAAAUUUUAUUAGCACAGUAAACCAACCAAGACUUGCAAUCUAUCAAAAAGCAUGGUGAAUUAACACUAGUGACCAGAUGAUGGUGAUCUACACCAAACUCUCGUCUCAGUAAUAACUACAACAAGCUCUUAACAAUACAAAGACCAAAAAGGUAUCUGGCAAAUCCAAAUCCUGGCACUUACAUAGCGGUACAAAUUUUAUUAGCACAGUAAACCAACCAAGACUUGCAAUCUAUCAAAAAUUCUGUGCAACAUGUGGUUCAAAAUUCAUUUCAUUGGCACAUUAUCAUAUAUUUGUAACACAUAUGUUAGCAUUCUAGUUCCA